UACGGAGGGUGCAAGCGUUAUCCGGAUUCACUGGGGUUAAAGGGUGCGUAGGUGGGCUGGUAAGUCAGUGGUGAAAUCUCCGAGCUUAACUCGGAAACUGCCAUUGAUACUAUCAGUCUUGAAUUUUCUGGAGGUAAGCGGAAUAUGUCAUGUAGCGGUGAAAUGCUUAGAUAUGACAUAGAACACCAAUUGCGAAGGCAGCUUACUACACAGUUAUUGACACUGAGGCACGAAAGCGUGGGGAUCAAACAGG
Molecule: ribosomal RNA, 253 nt
Filed under: uncultured bacterium
Lineage: Bacteria
Description: partial 16S ribosomal RNA
Rfam family: Bacterial small subunit ribosomal RNA
Source: RNAcentral